GACGAACGCUGGCGGCGUGCCUAACACAUGCAAGUCGAGCGGGGUUGAAGCGAGGGGUAACUCGAGUUUCUACCUAGCGGCGGACGGGUGAGUAACGCGUGGGCAACCUGCCUCAAGGACUGGGAUAACAGCUCGAAAGGGCUGCUAAUACCGGAUAAGCCUAUGGCCUCGCAUGGGGCCAUGAGCAAAGGGGAAACCCGCCUUGAGAUGGGCCCGCGUCCCAUCAGCUAGUUGGUGAGGUGAAGGCUCACCAAGGCGACGACGGGUAGCCGGCCUGAGAGGGUGACCGGCCACACUGGGACUGAGACACGGCCCAGACUCCUACGGGGGCAGCAGUGGGGAAUCUUGCACAAUGGGCGAAAGCCUGAUGCAGCGACGCCGCGUGAGCGAAGAAGGCCUUCGGUUGUAAAGCUCUGUCUGGAGGGACGAAGGAAGUGACGGUACCUCCGGAGGAAGGCCACGGCUAACUACGUGCCAGCAGCCGCGGUAAACGUAGACGUG
This 501-nucleotide ribosomal RNA is filed under the name uncultured bacterium. RNAcentral describes it as "bacterial SSU rRNA". It matches the Rfam family "Bacterial small subunit ribosomal RNA", at positions 28 to 533 of the family's 1533-position model. The record is from RNAcentral.